RNAcentral lists this non-coding RNA (105 nucleotides) under Deltaproteobacteria bacterium. RNAcentral describes it as "SAM-I-IV sequence". It matches the Rfam family "SAM-I/IV (S-adenosyl methionine) riboswitch aptamer". From Rfam's summary of the family: It is found upstream of a number of genes which code for proteins involved in methionine or cysteine biosynthesis. It has been found mostly in the order Actinomycetales. Lineage: Bacteria; Pseudomonadati; Myxococcota; Myxococcia. The record is from RNAcentral.
AGUCAGCAUCCAGAGCGAUUCGAAAGAAUCCGGCAACCGAGCAACAGGGGGCUACGGUGCCAAAAUGAUGCGCGAGGCAACCCGCUUCGAAAAGGGUCCCUGGUA